This 475-nucleotide ribosomal RNA is filed under the name Trithemis festiva (indigo dropwing). RNAcentral describes it as "partial 16S ribosomal RNA". It matches the Rfam family "Bacterial large subunit ribosomal RNA", at positions 1854 to 2591 of the family's 2925-position model. Lineage: Eukaryota; Metazoa; Arthropoda; Insecta; Odonata; Libellulidae. The record is from RNAcentral.
CUGACCUGCCCAGUGAUUAAUUUAACGGCCGCGGCAUACUGACCGUGCAAAGGUAGCAUAAUCAUUAGUCUUUUAAUAGAGGGCUGGAAUGAAAGGUUUAACGAGGAACUGACUGUCUCAUUUUAUUUGUUUUAAAAUUUAAUUUUUUAGUUAAAAAGCUGAAAUUUUAUUGGAAGACGAGAAGACCCUAUAGAUCUUUAUAUAAAUUUAAUUAAUUAUCUUUAUAUAAAUAUAAUUGUCUAAAUUUAUAUUUUGUUGGGGUGACAAAAAUAUAAAAUUAACUUUUUUAUUAAUUUAACAUUAAUUUAUGAAUAUAUGAUCCAUUAUUAGUGAUUAUUAGACUAAGUUACCUUAGGGAUAACAGCGUAAUCCUCCUCCAGAGUUCAUAUUUACAGGAUGGGCUUGCGACCUCGAUGUUGGAUUAAGAUAAUAAUCAGGUGCAGUCGCUUGAUUUAUAGGUCUGUUCGACCUUUAA